GAUUACAAUUUCUAGGAACAAAAGAAAAUUUGAUAAACUGAAAAGAAGCGGAUAGAUCGAGGAUAACAAAGAUGAUCCCGUGAAGUUCCUUAGGCGGAUCCUCCGAAUUUAUGGCUUCGAUUAAUUGCUUGCAAUCUGAAGCGACAGAGAUUUGGGGGAAACCCAGGUUUGAGGCAUCUUGUAGUGCGUGGAGGAUGGUGAUCGCCUCCACUAUGAGUGGUGAUCGAACGAAGUUACUAAUCGUCGAUCAUGUGCAGUUCUGUCCGAUAUGGCUAUUACUGAAGGUCCAACCACAGCCCGCUUGCUUAGUCUCCUUGUUCCACAUUGCGUCGUCGUGACAGAUCACAACCUCUCUGGCCAUCGGUUGGGGAAAAUCGUUGAUCAUUCUGGGUGUAUGAGAUUCAGGUAGUUCUUGAGCUUCACACCAUUCCCUUCCCACCUUGAGAGCGUAGUUCAGGGUUUCCUCUAAAGAAUAUGAAAAAGUUUCUGAAGAUUUUAUGGUUUCGAGAGAUCCAGAUCGACCAUAGUAUCCAUGGGUGUGGUCCUACGCUCAUUCCGCUAGGGGGAAGGCAGAUCCACAGCUUGGCUGUUUCGAUUACGGCUCGUAGGGAUUGUAGAGUGCUAAAAUCCACAGGGCGUUGGAAAGGAGCGAUUCUCCAGAUCUGUUGGGCAAAUCGGCAAGUGAUGAAGAGGUGGUCACUGGUUUCCGACUCCCCACAGAAAGGGAAAAUGGAAUCUGUUCUUAUGCUUCGUUUCCUUAAGUUCUCUCCCGUGGGUAGAGCCCCCUUCAUACCUUUCCAGAGCAGGAGCUUAUUCUUUGGAGAUGUUGAGAGGUUCCAUAUGUCACUUACCCAGUUGAAGUUUCUGAUGGGAGUAAGGGCUUGUACCUGCGUCGGAUGAUUCAACUUGAUGCUGUCAUAGUAGCCUGAUUUAGUCGUAUAGACUCCAUUCUUAGUUGGUAUCCACGUAAAGUCUUUUGUGGAUGGUGAGAUCAAGGUCGCCAUUGUGUUAUGUUGAGUCUCCUUCGUUGGUGGUCCCAUUGGGGUUUGUGGGGAUUCCAGAGAGAUCCACGGUUCACUCCACAGGGGCGUCUGGUGGCCAUUACCAAUUACCUUUGCGAGCUGUUUCUCGAGCAGUGUUUUUCCUAUGCAAAUUCCACGCCAUCCAUGGGAAGUAUUAACCAGGGGUAUACUCUGUAAGAAGGGAGUGGAGUGGCAGUAUCUUCCUAGGAGGAUUCGAGCCAUUAGGCAAUUAGGAGAGGUUUGCCCAUGAUAUCCAGCACAUCUUUGUUUUUCUGUAGACGAGUCCCACCAGAAUCUUGUCAACACCGACUGGAUGCGCUUGCACAGGGAUCCCGGAACUUUGAGGACCAGCUCCGUGCCUUUUGUCUGAUCUUAUCCACUAUGCUAGUGAAUAGAUCCCUUUUCUUUUUGUCAAACAGUUCAGGGAGUCCUAGAAGAACAUGGUGUCGUCUGCAAACAGGAGAUGGUUUAGCCUUGGGCUCUUCUUGCCUAGUUUGAUUCCUGUCAUUUUUCCUUCCGCUUGAGCUUUUUUACACAGGCCUGACAGCACUUUGCUGCAUAGUAUGAAGAUAAACGGUGAUAGCGGGUCCCCUUGCCUAAUACCACGUUGUGGUAGGACCAUUCCCUGAGCUGCUCCAUUUAUCAGGUAAGAGUAGGAUACAGUUGUUAGGCAUUGCAUUAUCCUGUUUAUCCACUGUAACAUCCGUGAACCGGAAUCCCAGUUUGGGAUGUGCAUCGAUCGAUGCAGGUGGAGCAUCGGUCGAUGC
Long non-coding RNA from Camelina sativa (false flax), 1789 nucleotides. RefSeq lists it as uncharacterized. The record is from RefSeq and is a predicted model, not a curated record. NCBI's taxonomy places the organism in Eukaryota, Viridiplantae, Streptophyta, Magnoliopsida, Brassicales, Brassicaceae.